Thalassophryne amazonica is the source of this 1815-nucleotide long non-coding RNA. RefSeq lists it as uncharacterized. The record is from RefSeq and is a predicted model, not a curated record. NCBI's taxonomy places the organism in Eukaryota, Metazoa, Chordata, Actinopteri, Batrachoidiformes, Batrachoididae. The transcript has 2 exons.
UUUUAAGCCACUGCAUUGAUCCAUCUUUGUCAAUGUACUCCUUUUCGAGUUCUUGGAAUCUUCCAGCCCUUUUGUGCCAUUUCCACCUGUCCACUCGAUGUUUUCGUUCUCUUUUGCUGUAUUGCUCUCUGGUCUGUCUUACAAGUUUUGUUACAGGUGUCAGAUUGUUGCUUUCACUCUCUUGUAAGAGUUUUCUGCCAGUUUGAUGACUGAGGUCUGUUCGGAUAAGGUCUUCUCAUGAUGUUGCGUGACCUUUUUCAUGACUUCUUUAGAACUCUUUAAGUACUGUCCAAUACUUAUUAGCAAUGCUCUGUAGGCCUGAUUGAUUUCAGUUAAGAUCUACACUGCCUUCUCUGCGAAGGAGAUAUAUUCUGUCCAUGCACUGAUUUCUGUACGUGACUUUGUGGAGGGUGAGCAUCUUCCUGGUUUACAUAUUCAACUUAUUCAGCUCACGCUGUGGCCAGUCUGCUAUGCCAAACCCAUAGGUCACCACUGGUACUGCAAGCUUGUUCUUUGGUGCCAACUCUGAUUUACAGAUCUUUUUUAAGUGGUUUUGGUAUUUUUGUGUUGCUUUCUUUCUCAUCUUCUUAUGCUCUAUUGUAGCAUUUUGUUAAAUUCCCAAGUAUUUGUAUGUGGAGUCUUCACUUCAGCCAAAUCUUCAAUGUAGCUCCCUUCAUCCAACUAUAUGUUUUCUGCUGUUCUCUUUUCACCUUUUUUGAAUGUACAUUUAGAGCAUUUAUUCAGUCCAAUUUCCAAAUCAAUGUCUUUGGAAAACUUAUGGACUGCUUCCACAAGCCAACUGAGUCUCUGUUUCAUGUUGACAUAGAUUUUCAAAUCAUCCAUGAACAACGGAUGAUCCACGUUUUUGAUUUUUCCUUCCUCCGCCUCUACUUAAGUCACACCCGAUGUCAUGCUCCUUCAGGAUCUUGUUAAGUGGGUCUAUGAUUAAGCAGAAUAAAAGUGGCGAGAAGCUGUCUCCCUGGAAUAGCCCUCUCUGAACUCAUAUGUCUGGGAUUGUUAUUUGUCCCUCUGUGUGAUUGAGGGUGAUGGUGGUGUUCCACUUGUUCAUUUGUGCUCUCAGGAAAGAUCUUAUUUCCUCAUUGAUGUUGUAGAGUUCUAAGCACCUGAUGAUCCAGGAGUGUGGCACUCUGUCAAAUGCCUUUUUGUAAUCAAUCGCUUCCAAAUUUGUAAUUUCACUUCCUUUUUUUUCAGUAUUUCAUAAUGGAUUUAUUUAUGAAUACCUGGUUUUAAAUUCCUAAUCUUUUCCUUAUACAGCAUUUCUAUUCAUUUUCAACAUAGCCACCAGUAUCAAGAUGUUCAUAAAUUGCAUUGGGUAUAAUUCCUGUCAGUCAUUUAUAUGUUGUUGUUCGGUAAUAGAUGGGUCUGUACUUGUUGGUAGCUGUGUUUCAUUGGUCUUUGGUAGUAGGCUUGUAUUUUUGUCUUGUGUGAAUUAUCAUGUGUCUGUUCAGGUUGCGCUUUUGUCCAAAUCUUCGACCACAUUCAGAACAACCAAAUUGUUUUUGUCCUGUGUGAAUUAUCAUGUGUCUGUUCAGCUUGCUCCUUUGUCCAAAUCUCAGACUACAUUCAGAACAGCUAAAUUGUUUUUGUCCUGUAUGAAUUAUCAUGUGUUUUUUCAGGUAGCUCUUAUACCCAAAUGUUCGACCACAUUCAGAACAGUCAAAUGGUUUCUUUCCUGUCUGAAUUCCCAUGUGUUUGUUCAGAGUGCCCUUCUGUUUCUGUAUUUUACUCCGAUCAGAACAGCUAAAUGGUUUUAUGCUUGCUUGCCUCUUCUUGUAAUGCUCUGAGUUGAUCAUG